This 252-nucleotide unclassified non-coding RNA is filed under the name plant metagenome. Its description in RNAcentral is "partial contains small subunit ribosomal RNA, internal transcribed spacer 1, and 5.8S ribosomal RNA". The stretch from base 1 to 54 matches the Rfam family "Eukaryotic small subunit ribosomal RNA", at positions 1778 to 1831 of the family's 1831-position model. The record is from RNAcentral.
GGAAGUAAAAGUCGUAACGAGGUCUCCGUAGGUGAACCGGCGGAGGGAUCAUUACAGAGUUCAUGCCCUACCGGGUAGAUCUCCCACCCUAUGUUAUUAUUACUUUGUUGCUUUGGCGGGCCGUUAGGCUCCGGCCCGACUACCGGCCCCGGCUGGUAAGCGCCCGCCAGAGGACCCAAAACCCUGAAUAUUAGUGUCGUCCGAGUAACUAUACAAUCGUUAAAACUUUCAACAACGGAUCUCUUGGUUCUG